This 546-nucleotide ribosomal RNA is filed under the name uncultured Glomeromycotina. Its description in RNAcentral is "SSU rRNA". It matches the Rfam family "Eukaryotic small subunit ribosomal RNA", at positions 548 to 1098 of the family's 1831-position model. Lineage: Eukaryota; Fungi; Glomeromycota. The record is from RNAcentral.
UUGGAGGGCAAGUCUGGUGCCAGCAGCCGCGGUAAUUCCAGCUCCAAUAGCGUAUAUUAAAGUUGUUGCAGUUAAAAAGCUCGUAGUUGAAUUUCGGGAUCAAUUUAUUGGUCGUGCUAUUGUACGUACUGGUAUUAUUGAUUCCUACCUUCUGACGAACCAUGAUGUCAUUAAUUUGGUGUCAUGGGGAAUCAGGACUGUUACUUUGAAAAAAUUAGAGUGUUUAAAGCAGGCUCACGCUUGAAUACAUUAGCAUGGAAUAACGAAAUAGGACGUUUGAUUCUAUUUUGUUGGUUUCUAGGAUCGACGUAAUGAUUAAUAGGGAUAGUUGGGGGCAUUAGUAUUCAAUUGUCAGAGGUGAAAUUCUUGGAUUUAUUGAAGACUAACUACUGCGAAAGCAUUUGCCAAGGAUGUUUUCAUUAAUCAAGAACGAAAGUUAGGGGAUCGAAGACGAUCAGAUACCGUCGUAGUCUUAACCAUAAACUAUGCCGACUAGGGAUCGGAUGAUGUUAUUUUUAAUGACUCAUUCGGCGCCUUACGGGAAAC